Long non-coding RNA from Cyprinus carpio (common carp), 1329 nucleotides. Lineage: Eukaryota; Metazoa; Chordata; Actinopteri; Cypriniformes; Cyprinidae. The record is from Ensembl.
UAUUCAGUUGUUUCUGCAGAACUGAAUGUGGAAAUUAAAGCUAUUUGAAUAAAGGAGAAGGGAAGUAAAGUGAAGGUGUGAGAAGGGUGUUGACUUACUUCUUCAUGUCAUUAAUGAACUUUAGUUUUUUUUUUUUUUUUUUUUUUUUUUNUUUUUAUUUUGUAUGAAACUUCUGUUGUACUGUCUCACUUCUUCUUUAGUGCUUAUUGGCUCCUGAUAAAUUACUGGUGUGUUUCCUCAUAUGUUUGCAUUAUCAUAAAUGUAACAUAAUAUUUUAAUUGUACUGUAAUCAUGUAUUUAAUUAAGUGAUUAACCAAUAUUUUAUUAAUAUUAUCAAUAUUUUAAAGUGAGUGUGUUUUCUGUAUUCAGUUGUUUCUGCAGAACUGAAUGUGGAAAUUGAAGCUAUUUGAAUAAAGGAGAAGGGAAGUAAAGUGAAGGUGUGAGAAGUGUGUUGACUUACUUCUUCAUGUCAUUAAUGAACUUUAGUUUUUUUUUGUUUUUUGUUUUUUUAUUCAAAGGCCUCAGGGGAAACAAAGGGGAACUCAUGAGGUGUGGAGCGCACAGGAAAACAUAAAUAUGUCAGCAGUUCUGUGUUUGGCUUUCUUCUGUACAGUUUGUUCUUUUUUUGUUUGUUUGUUUGUUUGUUUUUUUGGUUAAUAUAAAGGAGGAAGUCUGGCAUCUCAUCACAUUCAUGACAGAAGGCUCACCUGAAAACACAUCAAGAGCUUCAGAAGAACUGAAUCUACUAACAACAGAGAAGAUCACUGAAGAAGAGAGAAGAAUGAAGAUCAUCUGGACUUUCACUCUGCUGAUGAUUCUUGGUACCAUGACCUCAGUCAGUUUGCCUGGACAAUCAUUGCAUAAAGUUAACAUGACAUGCACAUAUGAUAGCAAUGACAAAACAAAAGAAAUGUAUUUUUGUGAAGUACUGUGGUCAGAGUGCACACACCAAGCCAGGACUAAUUCUAAAGAUGAAUGUGUUGAUUCUGGAAAUUUCUCUCUGAAUAAAAACAAAAGAACAGCAGUUUUCAAUUUGACCAUCAGAGAUCAAAGAAAACAGGAUUCUGUGAAGAAUGGAGGUGAUAAAUCAAUAAUAUAUUUCUGCACUGAAGCGGACCUGACCAUUAUAUCGGGUGAGUAACCCACUUGCAUUAACCCAUUUUUAAACAUGACCAUCAUCAAUGCUGUGAUUUGUGUUAAUUUGGGCAAAAUAAUUAUACAGUUAAACAUGUUUUCUCAGUCAAUUUUCCUAGUCAAGUGCAUUCAUUAUGCACAGUAAAACCAUGUGGUGUUGAUGGUUAUUUUUCAAUAAAAAAAAAAAAAAAAUCA